RNAcentral lists this ribosomal RNA (497 nucleotides) under uncultured bacterium. Its description in RNAcentral is "partial 16S ribosomal RNA". It matches the Rfam family "Bacterial small subunit ribosomal RNA", at positions 28 to 507 of the family's 1533-position model. The record is from RNAcentral.
GAUGAACGCUGGCGGCGUGCCUAAUACAUGCAAGUCGAGCGAACAGAUAAGGAGCUUGCUCCUUUGACGUUAGCGGCGGACGGGUGAGUAACACGUGGAUAACCUACCUAUAAGACUGGGAUAACUUCGGGAAACCGGAGCUAAUACCGGAUAACAUAUUGAACCGCAUGGUUCAAUAGUGAAAGGCGGCUUUGCUGUCACUUAUAGAUGGAUCCGCGCCGUAUUAGCUAGUUGGUAAGGUAACGGCUUACCAAGGCAACGAUACGUAGCCGACCUGAGAGGGUGAUCGGCCACACUGGAACUGAGACACGGUCCAGACUCCUACGGGAGGCAGCAGUAGGGAAUCUUCCGCAAUGGGCGAAAGCCUGACGGAGCAACGCCGCGUGAGUGAUGAAGGUCUUCGGAUCGUAAAACCCUGUUAUCAGGGAAGAACAAAUGUGUAAGUAACUGUGCACAUCUUGACGGUACCUGAUCAGAAAGCCACGGCUAACUACGUG